Molecule: ribosomal RNA, 397 nt
Filed under: uncultured bacterium
Lineage: Bacteria
Description: partial 16S ribosomal RNA
Rfam family: Bacterial small subunit ribosomal RNA
Source: RNAcentral
AUACGUAGGGGGCAAGCGUUGUCCGGAAUGAUUGGGCGUAAAGGGCGCGUAGGCGGCCCGGUAAGUCUGAAGUGACAGUCCUGUUUUUAAGAUGGGAAUUGCUUUGGAUACUGUCGGGCUUGAGUGCAGGAGAGGUAAGUGGAAUUCCCAGUGUAGCGGUGAAAUGCGUAGAGAUUGGGAGGAACACCAGUGGCGAAGGCGACUUACUGGACUGUAACUGACGCUGAGGCGCGAAAGUGUGGGGAGCAAACAGGAUUAGAUACCCUGGUAGUCCACACUGUAAACGAUGAAUGCUAGGUGUAGGGGGUAUCGACCCCUUCUGUGCCGCAGUCAACACAAUAAGCAUUCCGCCUGGGGAGUACGGCCGCAAGGUUGAAACUCAAAUGAAUUGACGGGG